RNAcentral lists this ribosomal RNA (484 nucleotides) under Fusarium nectrioides. RNAcentral's name for it is "eukaryotic LSU rRNA". It matches the Rfam family "Eukaryotic large subunit ribosomal RNA", at positions 116 to 611 of the family's 3401-position model. The record is from RNAcentral. Lineage: Eukaryota; Fungi; Ascomycota; Sordariomycetes; Hypocreales; Nectriaceae.
UGAAAUCUGGCUCUCGGGCCCGAGUUGUAAUUUGUAGAGGAUGCUUUUGGCAAGGUGCCUUCCGAGUUCCCUGGAACGGGACGCCAUAGAGGGUGAGAGCCCCGUCUGGUUGGACACCGAGCCUCUGUAAAGCUCCUUCGACGAGUCGAGUAGUUUGGGAAUGCUGCUCUAAAUGGGAGGUAUAUGUCUUCUAAAGCUAAAUACUGGCCAGAGACCGAUAGCGCACAAGUAGAGUGAUCGAAAGAUGAAAAGCACUUUGAAAAGAGAGUUAAAAAGCACGUGAAAUUGUUGAAAGGGAAGCGCUUAUGACCAGACUUGGGCUUGGUUGAUCAUCCGGCGUUCUCGCCGGUGCACUCUUCCAGUUCAGGCCAGCAUCAGUUUGCCCCGGGGGAUAAAAGCUUCGGGAAUGUGGCUCCUCCGGGAGUGUUAUAGCCCGUUGCAUAAUACCCUGGGGCAGACUGAGGACCGCGCUUCGUGCAAGGAU